RNAcentral lists this ribosomal RNA (1180 nucleotides) under Nohea delmarensis. RNAcentral's name for it is "LSU rRNA". It matches the Rfam family "Eukaryotic large subunit ribosomal RNA", at positions 88 to 1300 of the family's 3401-position model. Lineage: Eukaryota; Fungi; Ascomycota; Sordariomycetes; Microascales; Halosphaeriaceae. The record is from RNAcentral.
GGCGAGUGAAGCGGCAAUAGCUCAAAUUUGAAAUCUGGCGCCUUUGGGCGUCCGAGUUGUAAUUUGCAGAGGAUGCUUUUGGCGAAUGCGCCUUCCGAGUUCCCUGGAACGGGACGCCACAGAGGGUGAGAGCCCCGUACGGUCUGGUGCUGAGCCGCUGUAAAGCUCCUUCGACGAGUCGAGUAGUUUGGGAAUGCUGCUCUAAAUGGGAGGUAAACUCCUUCUAAAGCUAAAUAUUGGCCAGAGACCGAUAGCGCACAAGUAGAGUGAUCGAAAGAUGAAAAGCACUUUGAAAAGAGAGUUAAAUAGCACGUGAAAUUGUUGAAAGGGAAGCGCUUAUGACCAGACUUGGGCCUGGUGGUUCAGCCGUCCUUCUGGGCGGUGUACUCUGCCGGUUCAGGCCAGCAUCAGUUGCUAGUUGGGGAGAAAGGUAUUGGGAAUGUGGCUCUUCGGAGUGUUAUAGACCUCUAUCUCAUGCCCUUCCGGCGACUGAGGUUAGCGUUCUUCACGGAUGCUGGCGUAAUGGUUAUUAGCGACCCGUCUUGAAACACGGACCAAGGAGUCGUCCUGCUAUGCAAGUGUUUGGGUGCUAAACCCCUACGCGAAAUGAAAGUGAACGGAGGUGAGAGCUUCGGCGCAUCAUCGACCGAUCCUGCUGUUUUCGAAUGGAUUUGAGUAAGAGCAUAGCGGCCGGACCCGAAAGAAGGUGAACUAUGCUUGGAUAGGGCAAAGCCAGAGGAACUCUGGUGGAGGCUCGCAGCGGUUCUGACGUGCAAAUCGAUCGUCAAAUCUGAGCAUGGGGCGAAAGACUAAUCGAACCUUCUAGUAGCUGGUUUCCACCGAAGUUUCCCUCAGGAUAGCAGUGCUGAUUCUCAGUUUUAUGAGGUAAAGCGAAUGAUUAGGGACUCGGGGGCGCUAUUUAGCCUUCAUCCAUUCUCAAACUUUAAAUAUGUAAGAAGCCUUUGUUGCUUUAGUGAACGAAGGCAUUAGAAUGUACAGCACUAGUGGGCCAUUUUUGGUAAGCAGAACUGGCGAUGCGGGAUGAACCGAUCGUCGAGGUUAAGGUGCCGGAGUAGUCGCUCAUCAGACACCACAAAAGGUGUUGUCACAUCUUGACAGUCAGGACGGUGGCCAUGGAAGUCGGAUCCGCUAAGGACUGUGUAACAACUCACCUGCGCGA